CUUGAUCGAGCCCAGCCACAGCGGACGCUCCGGGUCACGGUCCUUCCCGUAGGUGGCGAUGAGGGCCUGUGCCUC
This 75-nucleotide antisense RNA is filed under the name Micromonospora zamorensis. Its description in RNAcentral is "ASpks TB sRNA". It matches the Rfam family "ASpks TB sRNA". The record is from RNAcentral. Lineage: Bacteria; Bacillati; Actinomycetota; Actinomycetes; Micromonosporales; Micromonosporaceae.